AUGCUUGGGAAACACGGCUGGCGCCUUCUAACCAGACCGGAUUCUUUGUGUGCUAGGGUACUGAAGGGCAAAUAUUUCCCUCACACGGAUUUUCUUAAUGCGACAGUUCCGGCCAGAGCUUCGGCAACCUGGAAGGCCAUUGUUGCAGGGCGAGAUGCAUUACAGGUUGGUCUCAUUCGUCGAGUAGGCGAUGGCUCAACCAUCUCAACAUGGACAGAUAGUUGGAUUCCGAGCACGACCACACUGAAACCCUCGGGGCGCAUCGGCACUGCGUCGUUAACAAGGGUCUCAGAUCUUAUUGAUGAAUACACGGGGAACUGGAAUGAACAACUAGUCUGUCAGAAUUUCUUGCACCUGGACGCGAUAGCCAUCCUAAAUAUACCGCUCAAUCCGGCGGGUGGUGAAGAUACUUUGGCCUGGGCUUUGGAGAAGUCGGGUAUCUACACUGUGAAAUCAGCGUAUCUUUCUCUUAUGACUCACAACGAGCUUGGCUCUUUAGAGGAAGGGGCGAUCGCAGAAACUUCAUCAGCUAACAAACAGUUGUGGACUGCUUUAUGGCGACUUCGAGUCGUUCCCAAAGUUCGGGUAUUU
RNAcentral lists this ribosomal RNA (591 nucleotides) under Triticum aestivum (bread wheat). Its description in RNAcentral is "partial small subunit ribosomal RNA". Lineage: Eukaryota; Viridiplantae; Streptophyta; Magnoliopsida; Poales; Poaceae. The record is from RNAcentral.